CCUACGGGGGGCAGCAGUGAGGAAUAUUGGUCAAUGGGCGGAAGCCUGAACCAGCCAAGUCGCGUGAGGGAUUAAGGCCCUGCGGGUCGUAAACCUCUUUUGCCGGGGAGCAGAGGUCCGGACGUGUCCGGGCCGGGAGAGUACCCGGAGAAAAAGCACCGGCUAACUCGGUGCCAGCAGCCGCGGUAAUACGGAGGAUGCGAGCGUUAUCCGGAUUUAUUGGGUUUAAGGGGUGCGUAGGCGGGCAUUUAAGCCGGCGGUCAAAUGUCGGGGCUCAACCCCGGCCUGCCGUCGGAACUGGGUGCCUUGAGUGGGCUAGAAGUAUGCGGAAUGCGUGGUGUAGCGGUGAAAUGCAUAGAUAUCACGCAGAACCCCGAGUGCGAAGGCAGCAUACCGACGCCCUACUGACGCUGAGGCACGAAAGUGCGGGUAUCGAACAGGAUUAGAUACCCGGGUAGUC
This 460-nucleotide ribosomal RNA is filed under the name uncultured bacterium. RNAcentral's name for it is "partial 16S ribosomal RNA". It matches the Rfam family "Bacterial small subunit ribosomal RNA", at positions 338 to 795 of the family's 1533-position model. The record is from RNAcentral.